UGCCCGUAGUCAUAUGCUUGUCUCAAAGAUUAAGCCAUGCAUGUCUCAGUGCAAGCCGUCUAGUACGGUGAAACCGCGAAAGGCUCAUUAAAUCAGUUAUGGUUCCUUAGAUCGUACCCACGUUACUUGGAUAACUGUGGUAAUUCUAGAGCUAAUACAUGCCGACAGAGUUCCGACCAACUUUCGAGAUUCGUCUUUGCAAGUUCGGAAGGAACGCUUUUAUUAGAUCAAAACCGUCCAGACGGCGGCGUUUCGCAUUCGUGCUGCGUCGUCGUUAGCGGCCCGCGCAAAGAUUUGGUGACUCUGAAUAACUUCGAGCUGAUCGCACGGUCCUCGUACCGGCGACGUAUCUUUCAAAUGUCUGCCUUAUCAACUGUCGACGGUAGGUUCGACGCCUACCGUGGUGGUAACGGGUAACGGGGAAUCAGGGUUCGAUUCCGGAGAGGGAGCCUGAGAAACGGCUACCACAUCCAAGGAAGGCAGCAGGCGCGCAAAUUACCCACUCCCAGCUCGGGGAGGUAGUGACGAAAAAUAACGAUACGGGACUCAUUUGAGGCCCCGUAAUCGGAAUGAGUACACUUUAAAACCUUGGUUC
RNAcentral lists this ribosomal RNA (595 nucleotides) under Maconellicoccus hirsutus (hibiscus mealybug). Its description in RNAcentral is "SSU rRNA". It matches the Rfam family "Eukaryotic small subunit ribosomal RNA", at positions 15 to 539 of the family's 1831-position model. The record is from RNAcentral. Lineage: Eukaryota; Metazoa; Arthropoda; Insecta; Hemiptera; Pseudococcidae.